CUUUUGAUUAGUAAAGCUAUUUUGUAUAAGAGAAAAACGAAUAAUGUUAGUACGAUGAAGAUAUUCACUGAAAUUUUCGAUGGUCUCAGAGGAGCUAUUAAAACGUUUGUAGGAAAUGUUUUGCUGUGAAAGUAGAAAAAGAGUUCUGUUGGGAACAAACGAUAUUGGAUGCUGGAAGAAUGAAUGUAUGUUGGAGUCUGAUACCAGUUCUUGUGCUAUUUUUUAUCAAGGAAGGCAAAGGUUUGUCAACUGAUCUGGAUGACCUUAGGAAGGAUUUUGGGGCGUGGUUACUGAAGCGUUCCCCCGAGUAUUCAACCUUAAUAGGCGUAUACAAAUACAAUGACCGGGUGGAAGAUUUUUCAUACGCCAAGUUCCUGGAAGAA
Long non-coding RNA from Saccostrea echinata, 383 nucleotides. RefSeq lists it as uncharacterized. Lineage: Eukaryota; Metazoa; Mollusca; Bivalvia; Ostreida; Ostreidae. The record is from RefSeq and is a predicted model, not a curated record. The transcript is spliced from 3 exons.